This 1963-nucleotide long non-coding RNA is filed under the name Mytilus galloprovincialis (Mediterranean mussel). The record is from RNAcentral. Lineage: Eukaryota; Metazoa; Mollusca; Bivalvia; Mytilida; Mytilidae.
GGUUGGGAACCCCCCCUUUUUAACCCCCUGGCUACGGGUAUGGUUCCCCUUUAAAAUGUUUGCCUCAUGAACAUCGGUCACCAUGAUCAGAAUUGGAAAUGUUAAAGAAUGGUUCUUGAAUGUUUUUCCAGCCAUUCUUUAUAUUAUCUAGAUAUAAAUGGUAUGAUUGCCAUUAAUACAAAUAUUAACACCUUAGAAUAAAGAUAGCUGGACUAUUAAUAGGAGAUCUCUUUUUAUAUAUAACCUUCAAAAAACAACAAAAUCCUAUGCUGAAGUGUUAUAUCUGAAAGUCCAAGAUGACAAAAUAUGAAACACUUUUGUUGAAUAGCCUGAUUAAGACAGUAACAUUAUGAAUUAAAAACAAUGACAAUCACAGGAUUAAAGAUUUUUUUAAGGUGCAGUGUGGGUUGGAAGUAUUUGAGAAAGAAAUAUUCUGGCCAGUGGGCAAAACUGGAAAUAGAAUUAACAUGAAUAUUCUUUCCAAACAAAUACAGGAUACAGCUGUGUACUAAAAUAGAAAUGAAUAAUUGCGUUUGCAAAAAAACAUAAAUAUGAAAAAAAAUACAAAAAAAAAAAUACUCCUCAGCUGUCUUGUGAAAGACUAUUUGCAGAAAUGUUCCUAAAUAAUUGUCACAGUUCAGAAUAUGCCUUAUAAACUGGAAUUUAAACCUUUAAGGUGAUCUUUUCACUUACACCAAAUUAAUUUAUUAUGACAACUUAUAUAGCCUAAAACAAUGGAACACUAAAUCACUUAUAUGAGGUUAUAAUUUUCAUUUUGGGUACAGACAGGGAAAGCAGGAUGUUUGAUGCGAUUUCAAAAUGGCUAAAAUUUUAAACUACAAUAUAUUGUCAUAAUGAAGCACAUAUAUAUAUUUAUAUUUCUCUAAUUCUAAGCUGAUUUAUCGUUUUCCUAAUCUGUUGAUUAUUUUUAUUUAAUCAACAUGUGGUUCAUUUGAUCUCAGCUAUUCAUUGGUCAAAUUUCGAUUAUGACGUCACAUUUUCUUGCUUUCCUCUGAAUUUCUUAUUGUGACUUUAUUAAAAAAGGCGUCUGAUGAUGUUGUAUAGAAAGAUCACAUCUUUUACAGAUCAAUGCAGAAAAAGGAAUAAUUAAGUUUGCUUCCAUUAUAGCAUAAAAAUCCCUAGAGAAACUGAUUCCACCACUAAAUCUUGUGUUAUACGAUAUUUAUCAACUCUUGACAGUUAAAUUUUAAAUAUUAAAAACGCUCGGGCGAGCCUCGCAUUUUAAAUUGAUAAUUUAACUGCCUCUAGUGGAUAAAUAUCAUAUCACACUUGAUGGUUCAUAAAUUAUAGCUAAAUCAAUUACCAGAUUAAUGAAAUAUACCAAUUUUGUGAAAAUUUAUGUACAAAAAAGGGAAGAAAGAUACCAGAGAGACAGUCAAACUCAUAAAUCGAAAAUAAACUGACAACGCCAUGGCUAAAAAUGAAAAAGACAAACAGACAAACAAUAGUACACAUGACACAACAUAGAAAACCAAAGAAUAAGCAACACAAACCCCACCAAAAACUAGGGGUGAUCUCAGGUGCGCCGGAAGGGUAAGCAGAUCCUGCUCCACAUGUGGUACAAGUGUAUUCAUGACAUCACAAGUAAGACAAAUUGGGACUUGCCACAAACUUGAAUGAAAACUUGUUAAUAUUAGAUAGAAGACAAUAUAACUCGUAUAUUGACAAAACAUCGAAUUUACCUUUCUGACUGAUAUUUAGUAUGUGGAACUCUUAGCUCUGUUUUUAAUUCGCCUUUUCAGAAUCUAAAGAACUAUGGGUAAUCUAAUUGCUUGUACACCAAAGUAAAAAUAACGUCACAUCAUCGGUUGAAUUCCAAUUGUUUAGGACUCUUAACCAAUCAAGACGCUUUGGUGUACGCUUUUUUUGCCUGUUUUUUAAAUGUUGAUGCUUUAAAAAACAUGCAUGAAAAUUUGAAAAAGGCCUAUACCUUACUUGCGCC